RNAcentral lists this ribosomal RNA (465 nucleotides) under uncultured bacterium. RNAcentral describes it as "partial 16S ribosomal RNA". It matches the Rfam family "Bacterial small subunit ribosomal RNA", at positions 31 to 507 of the family's 1533-position model. The record is from RNAcentral.
GAACGCUGGCGGCGUGCUUAACACAUGCAAGUCGAACGGAAAGGCCCUGCUUUUGUGGGGUGCUCGAGUGGCGAAUGGGUGAGUAACACGUGAGUAACCUGCCCUUGACUUUGGGAUAACUUCAGGAAACUGGGGCUAAUACCGGAUAGGAGCUCCUGCUGCAUGGUGGGGGUUGGAAAGUUUCGGCGGUUGGGGAUGGACUCGCGGCUUAUCAGCUUGUUGGUGGGGUAGUGGCUUACCAAGGCUUUGACGGGUAGCCGGCCUGAGAGGGUGACCGGCCACAUUGGGACUGAGAUACGGCCCAGACUCCUACGGGAGGCAGCAGUGGGGAAUAUUGCACAAUGGGCGGAAGCCUGAUGCAGCAACGCCGCGUGCGGGAUGACGGCCUUCGGGUUGUAAACCGCUUUCGCCUGUGACGAAGCGUGAGUGACGGUAAUGGGUAAAGAAGCACCGGCUAACUACGUG